RNAcentral lists this ribosomal RNA (768 nucleotides) under uncultured bacterium. Its description in RNAcentral is "bacterial SSU rRNA". It matches the Rfam family "Bacterial small subunit ribosomal RNA", at positions 8 to 796 of the family's 1533-position model. The record is from RNAcentral.
AGAGUUUGAUCAUGGCUCAGAACGAACGCUGGCGGCAUGCCUAACACAUGCAAGUCGAACGCUUUUGGGGCUUCGGCCCCAAGGGAGUGGCGCACGGGUGAGUAGCGCGUGGGAACCUGCCCUGUUGUGGGGGAUAACCGAGGGAAACUUCGGCUAAUACCGCAUAAGCCGGUUGUCUUGAGAGAGAUGGCCGGGAAAGAUUUAUCGCGACAGGAGGGGCCCGCGUCGGAUUAGCUAGUUGGUGGGGUAACGGCCCACCAAGGCUGUGAUCCGUAGCUGGUCUGAGAGGAUGAUCAGCCACACUGGGACUGAGACACGGCCCAGACUCCUACGGGAGGCAGCAGUGGGGAAUAUUGGACAAUGGGCGCAAGCCUGAUCCAGCAAUGCCGCGUGAGUGAUGAAGGCCUUAGGGUUGUAAAGCUCUUUCGCCCGCGACGAUGAUGACGGUAGCGGGAGAAGAAGCCCCGGCUAACUUCGUGCCAGCAGCCGCGGUAAUACGAAGGGGGCGAGCGUUGUUCGGAUUUACUGGGCGUAAAGGGCGCGUAGGCGGCCCUCCUUGUCGCGUGUGAAAGCCCCGGGCUCAACCUGGGAAUUGCGCGCGAAACGGGGGGGCUUGAGUUCGGGAGAGGAGCGUGGAAUUCCCAGUGUAGAGGUGAAAUUCGUAGAUAUUGGGAAGAACACCGGUGGCGAAGGCGGCGCUCUGGACCGAGACUGACGCUGAGGCGCGAAAGCGUGGGGAGCAAACAGGAUUAGAUACCCCGGUAGUCC